This is a long non-coding RNA of Pteronotus mesoamericanus, 990 nucleotides long. RefSeq lists it as uncharacterized. NCBI's taxonomy places the organism in Eukaryota, Metazoa, Chordata, Mammalia, Chiroptera, Mormoopidae. The record is from RefSeq and is a predicted model, not a curated record. The transcript has 4 exons.
CCCCGCGUCCCAAACUGCGCACAAUAGCGCGCCGGCUCCUCUAUCUAUUUUGUGUCCAGCCCGGAGCCGCGAACGAUGAUUCAUUGCCCCAAUUAGGGGCUCUCUCCAGCGCGCCCGGCUCGAGCCGUCUGAAGGGUCUCCUCAGGGGACCGCGGAAACCCAUCAGCGGCUACAGCUGGUCUUUAAGUAAAGGUCAAGCAGGACGCAGGACGCAGGAGGAGGCAGGGGUUGAGGAGGUUCUGCUACUGCCUGUCUGCAACCUGCGGUGAAGGGGACACUGUGACGCGGCCCCACUCAGAGUCUGAAGGAGGAGAGCCACAGAAGUCAACAGGAUAACAAGAGGGAGGUGGAAUUUUCUUGGCUAAACUGAAAUCAUCCAAGAGAAGUUCCUGAGACGCAAGCAUAGUGGAUUUGAAAAGCCACGACAGAUGCUCACAGGCAGACCCAGCGCUGGGAACCUGGAGGAAACACCUGCCCCCUUGGUCCUGCAGGAGCCCAGAAACCAUCAGUGCGGAGCAUCUGGGCAUAUCUCAGACUUGUGGCUUCCUGCAGGGUUGGCUCAGAAGCUUCAGGAAUCUGCCCUCGCCUGCUGGGAAAGUUAGUUUCCAGGAUCCAAGCACUUAGCACAGAAUGAAGCAAGCACUUCUCUACUCUCCUCAGAAAGAGCUUCAAAUAUAGCAGGCCACUGGCAAAAGUAUGUUCCUCUCAGAGGAAGGAAUGCAAUCGUUACCAAUAAAGAAAAACACAACCUGGGAUUUAUGGAGGCCUUGGGUUUAUGAACCAUUUCACACCUAUUAGGUCGUAUGACAUAGUACAGCAGGAAUCAAAUCACCAUCUCCAGAUGAGAGAUGAGGAAACUGAGGCUGAAGGGCACAGUUCCUGGGACCAAGGUGAGCUCCCAGCGGCUGGGGUUGGUGAAAUUUCCUUGCCUUUUGUAUGUGUAAACUGUGCUAGCUUAUUCAAUAUAAACAUUAAAAAAGAUGUGUGUUU